This is a long non-coding RNA of Lathyrus oleraceus (garden pea), 2909 nucleotides long. RefSeq lists it as uncharacterized. The transcript has 3 exons. The record is from RefSeq and is a predicted model, not a curated record. Lineage: Eukaryota; Viridiplantae; Streptophyta; Magnoliopsida; Fabales; Fabaceae.
AGUGGAGGAAACACUCAGUACAAUUCCUUCAUCUUGUUCAUGUGUUUAUGUUACUUCUCUCAAAUAUGCCUCCGCCGGAACUUCUGCUCCGCCGUGCCGGAGGCGGCGGAGUUGGCCAGAACGACCAAAUAUCACCACCAAAAUGCUCCUUUCCACAUCCUCUCUCUCUCUCUCAAUCUCUCAAAAAUUUCUACUAAAGACUAACUACUUCUCCAAAUCGAAUCAAAAAAGCUAUGGGCCCUAACCAUGAAAACUAAAAUCAAACGGAGGAGGAGGGGAAUCAAGCCACUCCACCUUGGGGCUUUGAUUUCCCUCAACAAGAGCUACAUUGCGGUAUCAAAAUUCAAGCAAACAAAGGAGGAAGAGAAAUGCGUCACCGACCUGUAAGACAGAGGAUUGCCUUGGAAGUUGUUGCAGAGUCAGAAAUUGAAGACGAAGAUGCUAUUGAAGAAUGAAGAGAAAUCCAGACGUUUAGCUCAGUUGUGGCAAGCUUCAAUGUCAAGCUUGCACCAACAAUGGUGAAGUUGAGCUUUUAGUGAUUGGUGAGGGGAAGAUGAAUUGAAAGAGUGAUUUGCAGAAAAUGAUCAAAGUCCCUUGAUGAAUAAGGAGGAAUAUGAUUAUAUAGAUGAGUUCCCUAACUGUUUCGGGCACUUUUCCGGGCAGCUCUGUUUGAGGUUAGGGCACUGUUAUGGUUAAGUUAAGUUGAAUCCAAUAGUAAGUUAGUUGGAUCAAUUAACAGAGUUAUAUUUUCUGUUAAAUUGUCAUUUGGAACGGUUGGAAUUUAGGAUUGGUUAAUGAAGUGAAAUGUUAGUUGCUGAAUCUGUUCUGUGGUGCUAAUUGAUUUGCUAAUUUGAAGUAAAUUUUGCAACUGUUUUCAUAACUAUGCAAUCCAUGUUUUUGAGUUGAAUGCCAUGUGAAAUGAGGUUUAGUUGUUUUGGAAUGAUGCAGGCAAUUAACUGAUUUGAAUGUUACUGCAAAAUGAAGUUUAGUUGCUGAAUUGGAUUGGAUUUAGUGUAGGAAAUGGCACUGCAAUACUGAACAUGGCGACAGGGCACAGGUGUAACCGGUUAACCACUUUGGUUAACCGAUUACCAACAUGACAUCUUGCCUUAGUAGGCCAUGUUUGAAUGGAUAUGUUGAAUUGGUGAUCAAAAGAGGUGAUGGCUGUAUGUUGUUAUUGUUGUUGGAAGUGUUAAUGAAUUGAAGUUAGUGAAUUGGUUAGAAGAGUGAACUAGGUUAGUUUACUGUUAGUUAGAUUGUUAGUUAGCUGCAUUAGUUGACAAUUGUGGGUUAGUUGGUUAUGGAAUUUUACUGGUUUCACUUGUUUGUCUGCAGUUACUUGUUUGAAGAGGUUCCAACAUAAAAUGAAGGUUUACAUGGCAUUCUGCUGCCAACAAAAAAGCAUCAAUAGCAACAUCAUGAGUUUCAACAGUGAUUUCAUUCUGAGAAUGCAAAUCUAAAGCCAAGCGCUUAAACUCAGAAGCACGAAGCUCACAGUCAUGAUAGUUUAAAAGUUGAAAAUAAUCUGCCUGAAGUUUGAAGUAUUCAAACCUAAGGCCGAAAUCUAUGAGAACAUUAGAUAGAAACAAUGGGUGGAAUGUUUAUCCACCACAUGUUUGGAUUCCGAUAUCACAUCCGCAUCGCGAGAAACAAAGAUAUUAUUGUUAGGAACAUUAGAAUUGCUUCUCAAUGAAAUACCCUGCAAUUCUGGUGGAGCGAAAUGUAGAUUACGGUAUUCAACAAAAUCAGAUCUUCCUGCGGUUUCCGGUACCUGGUUUUGCCAUCAGACUCAUCUUGACUAUUGAGCUUGGAAAAAGUAGCUCCUCCAUUAACCCCAGAAGAAAGAAGUGAGACAGAUGCAGCUUCAUUUUCAGUUGGUCUUAAAACAGAUUUGCAAAGGUCAACAUCAGGUGGCGGUAACAUGUGUGGUUUCAGUAUCGAGAGAAGCACACUAGGAACCACAGACCCAUGUCUCCAUUCUGAUUCCAAAGAAGGAAGAACAGGUGGCUUUGAAUAUAUAGACGAAUGAAUUUCACCUCCUAAGCCAAAACUCUCUACUAGCACAAUCCUUUAACAGCUCCUUCAUAAAGAUACUUUAUUCCAUGCGAAAUAUCAAGAGCAAUUUACAUCCUUGACAUCCAAAGUUUGCAAUUGAUAACUGGAAACGCGAGGGAACCUUCAUCAAUUCUCAGCUUCUUCAAUGUGUCCACUUGUAACCAAUCGGCGGCGCUCAUUUGCAGUGACAGAAGCAUCAUGAUUAGCAGACAAACAAAUCCUUCCAAGGCCCUUCAUUUUGUUCGAACUCUCAAUCACACUCUGGACAUUCUUGCCUUUGAUACCUACAACAACUGCAUUUGCAAAAUAUCUAAGAAAUGGAUCCAAAUUUAACCGAGAUUUCUCAGCUAUUCAAUCGAUUUAAGGCUGCGUUUCUCAGAAACGACUUUGAUUCCAGUUCGAAUCUCCUUUCCCAGCUUAAAGUGUUACUGAAAGGGUUCAGAAGUCUUCCACCAUUGUUUGCAGAUACACCUAAUGUUGUUCAGGAGUUAACAAUAGCAAGGGAUAUGCAUGAGCAUGCUGUUGUCCUAAUAUUGGCACAACCUCCAUGAAAGGUAUGGGGCUUUAUGAGGGAAGAUUAUUGCAUAUGUUCACCACAGUAGAAAGAGCAACUCUCUGUAUGCUUGUUGAGAAGCAACCAAUGUAAUUUAAAAUAGUCGUAACAUGCUUUGCCAGCUUUACAAGCAAUGGUGAUAUGCUUCUUUGCAAAGUCCAGUUUCUCAAUAUCCCUACAUAUCUCUUGAACCAUUGUCUCCGCCUUAUUUUUUUUGUUUGAAUAUGCAUUGUAUUCUCAUGGUGAUGAGAACUAGUUCAGGUAUGUACGUGAAUGGAUGUUUGGAUGUUGAUGUCUUGUA